This is a long non-coding RNA of Betta splendens (Siamese fighting fish), 561 nucleotides long. RefSeq lists it as uncharacterized. Lineage: Eukaryota; Metazoa; Chordata; Actinopteri; Anabantiformes; Osphronemidae. The record is from RefSeq and is a predicted model, not a curated record. The transcript is spliced from 4 exons.
GUCUUUAGCCAACUGCAGUCAAAAGACAUCAUUCUUUUAUUUACCAGACACUUUGAGACAACCUACACCUGAAGCUGAGUCAGUGGACUCAAACAGCAGUAGUGCCUUGACAUAGUACGUGUUUGUAGACAAUUCUUUGGCUCUCCCUCCUGUUUCUUCCUGGCACACCGGCGAAACAGCCGGUUGAAGAGUAUGUAGAGGUGGCUGAAGAUGAUGAGAGGGGGAGGCAGAAUGGGUCGGUCAUGGAAAGUCAUGAUCAGCUGAUACCUCUGGAACUUCCACACCUGAUUGGAAAUGGACUUGACUUCAAAGAAGGUGUUGCUGCCAGUCAGAACACACACGUACAUGAUACGAGGUGUCAUCUCCAAGGCGGAAAUCCAAGAGCAGAAUCAGAGGAGGAAAGAUGAUUCCCAGAAUAACCUUGGCCCACCGUGUUGUAUAAUUCCUCCAGUCUGGGAAUGGUGAGGAAGUGGUGAAUGUUGACUCCGUUCUCAAGGAGCAGUUUGACAAAGUCCACCCUGUCCAGCACUAGAGCGUCCAUCAUGGCCUGCUCCAGAGAGU